UCAGGAUGAACGCUAGCUACAGGCUUAACACAUGCAAGUCGAGGGGCAGCAUUGAGAUAGCUUGCUAUUCAGAUGGCGACCGGCGCACGGGUGAGUAACGCGUAUCCAACCUGGCCCGUAGUAGGGAACAGCCCGGCGAAAGUCGGAUUAAUGCCCUAUGUUCUCCGACGAAGACAUCUGAGUUGGAGCAAAGAUUCAUCGCUACGGGAUGGGGGAUGCGUCUGAUUAGGUAGUAGGCGGGGUAACGGCCCACCUAGCCAACGAUCAGUAGGGUUCUGAGAGGAAGGUCCCCCACAUUGGUACUGAGACACGGACCAAACUCCUACGGGAGGCAGCAGUGAGGAAUAUUGGUCAAUGGGCGAGAGCCUGAACCAGCCAAGUAGCGUGCAGGACGACUGCCCUGUGGGUUGUAAACUGCUUUUAUAGGGGAAUAAAGUGAGGUAUGCAUACCUUUUUGUAUGUACCCUAUGAAUAAGGACCGGCUAAUUCCGUGCCAGCCGCCGC
This 504-nucleotide ribosomal RNA is filed under the name uncultured bacterium. RNAcentral describes it as "bacterial SSU rRNA". It matches the Rfam family "Bacterial small subunit ribosomal RNA", at positions 24 to 518 of the family's 1533-position model. The record is from RNAcentral.